This is a non-coding RNA of Helianthus annuus (common sunflower), 104 nucleotides long. The record is from Rfam. Lineage: Eukaryota; Viridiplantae; Streptophyta; Magnoliopsida; Asterales; Asteraceae.
AUUGAGAUGAUGAUUAUUUCCCCAGAUGAUCGAAGUUGAUUAUACUGAGCGCAUUUAUUAUAGUUCUCUUUAAUAGGGAACUCCAAGCCAGAAAUCUGAUCCGA